UGAAAGCUGGUAUGAAUGGUUGGACGAGAAGAUGACUGUCUCUGUUUAAUUGACUUAUAAUUUUAUGUUUAAGUUAAAAAGCUUAAAUAAUAUUAAAAGACGAGAAGACCCUAUAGAGUUUUAUAUAUAAAUGAGUUUUAGAUUGAUUGAAUAAGAGGCUAUUAAUAUUUGUUUAUGUAUUUUGUUGGGGUGAUAGGAAAAUUGGUUAAACUUUUUUUUGUUUUAUACAUUUAUUUAUGAGUAGUUGAUCCAUUAUUUAUGGUUAUAAGAUUAAAUUACCUUAGGGAUAACAGCGUAAUUUUUUUUGAGAGUUCAAAUCGAUAGGAAAGAUUGCGACCUCGAUGUUGGAUUAAAAUUUACUUAAGGUGCAGCAGCUUUAAGGGGGGG
This 387-nucleotide ribosomal RNA is filed under the name Apomorphochelus sp. BMNH 671482. RNAcentral's name for it is "partial 16S large subunit ribosomal RNA". The record is from RNAcentral. Lineage: Eukaryota; Metazoa; Arthropoda; Insecta; Coleoptera; Scarabaeidae.